Molecule: unclassified non-coding RNA, 302 nt
Filed under: uncultured Pleosporales
Lineage: Eukaryota; Fungi; Ascomycota; Dothideomycetes; Pleosporales
Description: sequence contains ITS1
Rfam family: 5.8S ribosomal RNA (bases 1-108)
Source: RNAcentral
AAAAUGCGAUAACUAAUGUGAAUUGCAGAAUUAAAACGUGAAUCAUCGAAUCUUUGAACGCACAUUGCGCCCCUUGGUAUUCCAUGGGGCAUGCCUGUUCGAGCGUCAUUUGUACCCUCAAGCUUUGCUUGGUGUUGGGCGUCUUGUCCUCUUUGGAGGACUCGCCUUAAAACAAUUGGCAGCCGGCAUAUUGGUAUCGGAGCGCAGCACAAGUCGCACUUCUUUCCAUGAAUGUUGGCAUCCAUCAAGACUAUUUUUUCACUCUUGACCUCGGAUCAGGUAGGGAUACCCGCUGAACUUAA